Non-coding RNA from Otolemur garnettii (small-eared galago), 102 nucleotides. The record is from Rfam. NCBI's taxonomy places the organism in Eukaryota, Metazoa, Chordata, Mammalia, Primates, Galagidae.
GUGCUCACUUCAGCAGCAUGUACACUAAAAUUGGAACAAUACAGAGAAGAUUAGCAUGACCCCUGCACAAGGUGACACAUUAAUGAUGUGACUGUAUUACUU